RNAcentral lists this ribosomal RNA (453 nucleotides) under Escherichia coli. RNAcentral's name for it is "partial 23S ribosomal RNA". It matches the Rfam family "Bacterial large subunit ribosomal RNA", at positions 2374 to 2824 of the family's 2925-position model. The record is from RNAcentral. Lineage: Bacteria; Pseudomonadati; Pseudomonadota; Gammaproteobacteria; Enterobacterales; Enterobacteriaceae. RNAcentral also lists the same sequence under 1 other name.
UGCGAGCGUGACGGCGCGAGCAGGUGCGAAAGCAGGUCAUAGUGAUCCGGUGGUUCUGAAUGGAAGGGCCAUCGCUCAACGGAUAAAAGGUACUCCGGGGAUAACAGGCUGAUACCGCCCAAGAGUUCAUAUCGACGGCGGUGUUUGGCACCUCGAUGUCGGCUCAUCACAUCCUGGGGCUGAAGUAGGUCCCAAGGGUAUGGCUGUUCGCCAUUUAAAGUGGUACGCGAGCUGGGUUUAGAACGUCGUGAGACAGUUCGGUCCCUAUCUGCCGUGGGCGCUGGAGAACUGAGGGGGGCUGCUCCUAGUACGAGAGGACCGGAGUGGACGCAUCACUGGUGUUCGGGUUGUCAUGCCAAUGGCACUGCCCGGUAGCUAAAUGCGGAAGAGAUAAGUGCUGAAAGCAUCUAAGCACGAAACUUGCCCCGAGAUGAGUUCUCCCUGACCCUUUAA